RNAcentral lists this ribosomal RNA (395 nucleotides) under uncultured bacterium. RNAcentral's name for it is "partial 16S ribosomal RNA". It matches the Rfam family "Bacterial small subunit ribosomal RNA", at positions 523 to 918 of the family's 1533-position model. The record is from RNAcentral.
AUACGUAGGGUGCAAGCGUUAAUCGGAAUUACUGGGCGUAAAGCGUGCGCAGGCGGUUUUGUAAGACCGAGGGGGAAUCCCCGGGCUCAACCUGGGGACUGCCUUUGUGACUGCAAGGCUAGAGGACGGCAGAGGGGGAUGGAAUUCCGCGGGUGGACGUGAAAUGCGUAGAUAUGCGGAGGAACACCGAUGGGGAAGGCAAUCCCCUGGUCCUGUGCUGACGCUCAUGCACGAAAGCGUGGGGAGCAAACAGGAUUAGAUACCCUGGUAGUCCACGCCCUAAACGAUGUCAACUGGUUGUUGGGUCUUCAUUGACUCAGUAACGAAGCUAACGCGUGAAGUUGACCGCCUGGGGAGUACGGCCGCAAGGUUGAAACUCAAAUGAAUUGGCGGGG